Molecule: ribosomal RNA, 430 nt
Filed under: uncultured bacterium
Lineage: Bacteria
Description: partial 16S ribosomal RNA
Rfam family: Bacterial small subunit ribosomal RNA
Source: RNAcentral
GUGGGGAAUAUUGCACAAUGGGCGCAAGCCUGAUGCAGCAACGCCGCGUGAGGGAUGACGGCCUUCGGGUUGUAAACCUCUUUUAGCAGGGAAGAAGCGAAAGUGACGGUACCUGCAGAAAAAGCACCGGCUAACUACGUGCCAGCAGCCGCGGUAAUACGUAGGGUGCAAGCGUUGUCCGGAAUUAUUGGGCGUAAAGAGCUCGUAGGCGGCUUGUCGCGUCUGCCGUGAAAACCUCAGGCUGAACCUGGGGCGUGCGGUGGGUACGGGCAGGCUAGAGUGCGGUAGGGGAGAUUGGAAUUCCUGGUGUAGCGGUGGAAUGCGCAGAUAUCAGGAGGAACACCGAUGGCGAAGGCAGAUCUCUGGGCCGCUACUGACGCUGAGGAGCGAAAGCAUGGGGAGCGAACAGGAUUAGAUACCCUUGUAGUCC